This 74-nucleotide transfer RNA is filed under the name Gloeobacterales cyanobacterium ES-bin-141. It matches the Rfam family "tRNA". Rfam says of the family: Transfer RNA (tRNA) molecules are approximately 80 nucleotides in length. RNAcentral also lists the same sequence under 1 other name. Lineage: Bacteria; Bacillati; Cyanobacteriota; Cyanophyceae; Gloeobacterales. The record is from Rfam by way of RNAcentral.
CGGGAUGUGGCGCAGCUUGGUAGCGCACCUGCUUUGGGAGCAGGGGGUCGCAGGUUCGAAUCCUGUCAUCCCGA